This 141-nucleotide non-coding RNA is filed under the name Clostridium sp. BL8. RNAcentral's name for it is "Bacterial small subunit ribosomal RNA". It matches the Rfam family "Bacterial small subunit ribosomal RNA", at positions 1393 to 1533 of the family's 1533-position model. The record is from Rfam by way of RNAcentral. Lineage: Bacteria; Bacillati; Bacillota; Clostridia; Eubacteriales; Clostridiaceae.
UCAGUCACACCAUGAGAGCUGGUAACACCCGAAGUCCGUGAGGUAACCGCAAGGAGCCAGCGGCCGAAGGUGGGAUUAGUGAUUGGGGUGAAGUCGUAACAAGGUAGCCGUAGGAGAACCUGCGGCUGGAUCACCUCCUUU